UGGGGUGUAGCUCAGUGGUAGAGGGCUUGCCUAGCACGUGUGAGACACUGGGUUAGAUCCUCAGCACCACAU
This 72-nucleotide transfer RNA is filed under the name Marmota monax (woodchuck). It matches the Rfam family "tRNA". Rfam says of the family: Transfer RNA (tRNA) molecules are approximately 80 nucleotides in length. Their secondary structure includes four short double-helical elements and three loops (D, anti-codon, and T loops). Lineage: Eukaryota; Metazoa; Chordata; Mammalia; Rodentia; Sciuridae. The record is from Rfam by way of RNAcentral.